This 459-nucleotide ribosomal RNA is filed under the name uncultured bacterium. RNAcentral describes it as "partial 16S ribosomal RNA". It matches the Rfam family "Bacterial small subunit ribosomal RNA", at positions 339 to 795 of the family's 1533-position model. The record is from RNAcentral.
CUACGGGGCGCAGCAGUGAGGAAUAUUGGUCAAUGGGCGCGAGCCUGAACCAGCCAUCCCGCGUGCAGGAUGACGGCCCUAUGGGUUGUAAACUGCUUUUCUAUGCCAAGAAACCUGAUUACGUGUAAUCAGUUGCCGGUAGCAUAGGAAUAAGCAUCGGCUAACUCCGUGCCAGCAGCCGCGGUAAUACGGAGGAUGCAAGCGUUAUCCGGAUUCAUUGGGUUUAAAGGGUGCGCAGGGGGGCUUGUAAGUCAGUGGUGAAAUGCUGCCGCUUAACGGUAGAACUGCCAUUGAUACUGCGAGUCUUGAGUAUGGUUGAGGGAGGCGGAAUGUGUUGUGUAGCGGUGAAAUGCAUAGAUAUGACACAGAACGCCAAUUGCGAAGGCAGCUUACUAAGCCAUUACUGACGCUGAGGCACGAAAGCGUGGGGAGCGAACAGGAUUAGAUACCCCAGUAGUC